This 492-nucleotide ribosomal RNA is filed under the name uncultured bacterium. Its description in RNAcentral is "bacterial SSU rRNA". It matches the Rfam family "Bacterial small subunit ribosomal RNA", at positions 15 to 507 of the family's 1533-position model. The record is from RNAcentral.
GAUCCUGGCUCAGGACGAACGCUGGCGGCGUGCUUAACACAUGCAAGUCGAACGGAGUUUCUUGGAUCAAGACUUCGGUCAAGUGAAUUGAAACUUAGUGGCGGACUGGUGAGUAACGCGUGAGGAACCUGCCUUUCAGAGGGGGACAACAGUUGGAAACGACUGCUAAUACCGCAUAAUGUAUCCGGAGGGCAUCCUCUGGAUACCAAAGCUUUAUGUGCUGAAAGAUGGUCUCGCGUCUGAUUAGCUAGAUGGCGGGGUAACGGCCCACCAAGGCGACGAUCGGUAGCCGAACUGAGAGGUUGAUCGGCCGCAUUGGGACUGAGACACGGCCCAGACUCCUACGGGAGGCAGCAGUGGGGGAUAUUGCACAAUGGGGGAAACCCUGAUGCAGCAACGCCGCGUGAGGGAAGAAGGUCUUCGGAUUGUAAACCUCUGUCAGUGGGGACGAUAAUGACGGUACCCACGGAGGAAGCCACGGCUAACUACGUG